GAAAUGCGAUAAGUAGUGUGAAUUGCAGAAUUCAGUGAAUCAUCGAAUCUUUGAACGCACAUUGCGCCCUUUGGCAUUCCGAAGGGCAUACCUGUUCGAGCGUCAUUUGUACCCUCAAGCUCUGCUUGGUGUUGGGUGUUUGUCCCCGUCUCCGCGCGUGGACUCGCCCCAAAGUGAUUGGCAGCCGGCGUACUGGUCCCGGAGCGCAGCACAUGUCGCGCAAACGAGUGCCUUGGUACGGCGGCGUCCAUAAGCCCCUCUCUCACGCUCUUGACCUCGGAUCAGGUAGGGAUACCCGCUGAACUUAAGC
This 310-nucleotide unclassified non-coding RNA is filed under the name plant metagenome. RNAcentral describes it as "partial contains 5.8S ribosomal RNA, internal transcribed spacer 2, and large subunit ribosomal RNA". The stretch from base 1 to 105 matches the Rfam family "5.8S ribosomal RNA", at positions 50 to 154 of the family's 154-position model. The record is from RNAcentral.